This 443-nucleotide ribosomal RNA is filed under the name uncultured bacterium. RNAcentral describes it as "partial 16S ribosomal RNA". It matches the Rfam family "Bacterial small subunit ribosomal RNA", at positions 338 to 795 of the family's 1533-position model. The record is from RNAcentral.
CCUACGUGAGGCAGCAGUGGGGAAUAUUGGACAAUGGGGGGAACCCUGAUCCAGCGACGCCGCGUGAGUGAAGAAGUAUUUCGGUAUGUAAAGCUCUAUCAGCCGGGAAGAAAGAGAUGACGGUACUUGACUAAGAAGUCCCGGCUAACUACGUGCCAGCAGCCGCCGUAAUACGUAGGGGGCAAGCGUUAUUCGGAAUUACUGGGUGGAAAGGGAGCGGAGACGGUUACAGAAGUCUGAAGUGAAAGGCGGGGGCCCAACCCCCGGACUGCUAUGGAAACUGUAUAACUGGAGUGCAGGAGAGGUAAGUGGAAUUCCUAGUGUAGCGGUGAAAUGCGUAGAUAUUUGGAGGAACACCAGUGGCGAAGGCGGCUUACUGGACUGUAACUGACGUUGAGGCUCGAAAGCGUGGGGAGCAAACAGGAUUAGAUACCCGAGUAGUC